This is a non-coding RNA of Schistosoma mattheei, 45 nucleotides long. The record is from Rfam. Lineage: Eukaryota; Metazoa; Platyhelminthes; Trematoda; Strigeidida; Schistosomatidae.
AUCCAGCUGACGAGUCCCAAAUGGGACGAAACGCGCGUCGCGGAU